Molecule: transfer RNA, 74 nt
Filed under: Puccinia triticina 1-1 BBBD Race 1
Lineage: Eukaryota; Fungi; Basidiomycota; Pucciniomycetes; Pucciniales; Pucciniaceae
Description: tRNA-Thr (AGT) (tRNA-Thr-AGT-175-1)
Rfam family: tRNA
About the family: Transfer RNA (tRNA) molecules are approximately 80 nucleotides in length. Their secondary structure includes four short double-helical elements and three loops (D, anti-codon, and T loops).
Source: RNAcentral
GCGUCUGUAGCCCUAGUUGGUAAAGGCAGCACUCUAGUAAGCUGAGGUCGUGAGUUUGACUCUCACCAGACACA